UGGGUGCUAGUGCCUCUGCAGUAGGCAUCUAUCCUUCACAGAUAUUUUAGAAGGGCUAGCUGUAACUUGCCGAGAGCAAGUCUUUAGUGGAGUGUCUGUAGAAAGCUGCAACAAUACAAAGGAGCCAUAAUCAUGUCAGCUUUGCACGAAGACAUGGAGGUGUAGGGAAUGAUCCUUUCUACUCUGUUCAAUUGCCCACUUUGUUCCAGCAGUAAUGAGUGAGUCCUGCAAGGGGAAAUUCUUCAGCACACGGAUCAUUCUGGGAUAGAGAACUAUUGUGGCUGUAAGGUGUGCAUUACCUGAGUGACCCGCAAAUUUCUGGGUGGAAGUGAUGAAGCACUGCAAGCCUGUGAAAUGUGCUCAGGAGUUGAACUAAUUCAGCGUUGCUGUGAAUACACAGCUUUACAUGUCCUAACAGGCUUUUGCCACACUGUUGUCUGGGGCUCCCAUGGCUGGUACAAGUGAGGAAUUGGCAGAAGAUACUACACUGUGGAUGAAAAAGAAA
Molecule: long non-coding RNA, 505 nt
Organism: Cygnus atratus (black swan)
Lineage: Eukaryota; Metazoa; Chordata; Aves; Anseriformes; Anatidae
Exons: 3
Source: RefSeq, a predicted model, not a curated record